GUCGCACGAGAAAGUGGAGCAAUCCAUGAGUAAAGUGGCGUACGGGUGAGUAACACGUGGAUCAUCUACCUUCUAGUGGGGAAUACCCCUGGGAAACUGGGGACAAUACCGCAUAAGCUCGUAAGAGGAAAGCAGCAAUGCGCUGGAAGAGGAGUCCGCGGCUGAUUAGCUAGUUGGCGGGGUAACGGCCCACCAAGGCGAAGAUCGGUAGCCGGCCUGAGAGGGCACACGGCCACACUGGCACUGAAACACGGGCCAGACUCCUACGGGAGGCAGCAGUGGGGAAUCUUGCACAAUGGAGGAAACUCUGAUGCAGCGACGCCGCGUGAGCGAUGAAGCCCUUCGGGGUGUAAAGCUCUUUCGACGGGAACGAUAAUGACGGUACCCGAAGAAGAAGCUGCGGCUAACUACGUGCCAGCAGCCGCGGUAAUACGUAGGCAGCAAGCGUUGUUCGGAGUUACUGGGCGUAAAGGGUGUGUAGGCGGUUGUUUAAGUUUGGUGUGAAAUCUCCCGGCUCAACUGGGAGGGUGCGCCGAAUACUGAAUGACUAGAGUGCGGGAGAGGAAAGUGGAAUUCCUGGUGUAGCGGUGAAAUGCGUAGAUAUCAGGAGGAACAC
This 616-nucleotide ribosomal RNA is filed under the name uncultured bacterium. RNAcentral describes it as "bacterial SSU rRNA". It matches the Rfam family "Bacterial small subunit ribosomal RNA", at positions 61 to 709 of the family's 1533-position model. The record is from RNAcentral.